CUGUCUAGCCAAGCUUGCUUGUGUCACUACCCUCAGGGGUACACAUUAGGUGCCAGCUGCAGAGUGGGGGAAGUUUGGCAGUUGGGAUACUGGGGGGUACCCACAGGUCAGAGGUCAGUUGGGAGGAUCCUCAGGAGAAGCUUUCCCAGCAGCAUUUGGGCAUGCCUUCUGCUGGAAUCUGGAAUGCAAUCAGCAGGUUCUGUGUCCCUUUAGUACCCUUCGAUAUCCUUCUCUGUCUCUUUCCCAAUCGCAUCCUUCCCCUGAGUCAUAGAACUCUUGCUUGAAUACAACAGGAGCUUCAGGAGAGAGGCUUUCUUUAGCAGCAUCUCAUACAGCUGGAGAAGUUAAGUACUCACUGAUCUCUGUUUUCCACCUUGGGGGAGAGUUGAUGCUCACAAAGUUCCUCUCACCCAGUCCAAUGCAUUCAAACUUAUUAACUUUUUUUUUUUUUGUCCUAUGGAAUGCUGAAACUUCUCUAGAAACAGGAAGUUCUAUGAAAAUUCUCUUGUCCAUGGGUAAAUGCCCAAGUCAGUGUUUUUCAGAUACCAUAGCCAGAAGGGUUUGGAAGUGGUUCAUAAGCUCCAGCCAGUUCCACAGUCAUACUGGGGUCUGCCUACCUAUACCUGAUGGACAGUGUCAAAGGGAAAAGAUUACGUGAUGAUGUGAAUACCAGAAUUCCAGGAGGCUGGCAUGACUCCAGACCAUCUUAGAGGCUCAGCUCUUUACCCCUCUUCAACUUCUUUGCCUUGCUUGGCGUGGAAAUUUGUGGAAGUUAUGACUUCGAGAAGCAUUGGGCCCUGACAACCCCCUCUUCUGAAACUUCCCAUAAGUUUUGGUAAGUUUCACAUACCAAAAGCUGGGCCGGUGGCAGCGGAGAGAGAAAACAGGUUAAAAGAUUUAAGUUAGAUACUACUUGUCCUGUUUAGUUUACAUAAAAGCAACAUUUUUCACCAAUGACUGCAUGAGCUUGUUGACCAGUCAGUUUUUAAAGCAUGACCAUUUUGGAGAACAGCAGAGGCCAAGCUGUUAACUUAUAACUAAAGUACUGUGAAAGUUUGCACAGUGGUAUUGAACUCUUGUUUCAUUACAUGAAGAGAUUUAAGAUUACCUUUUCCAUUCAUACUUUCCAAGGCUUGGGAAUAAGUGACUCACCACUGAAAGGAACUGGAGUUAUGAUACACAAGUGGAUUUUUUCCAAUUUCUCGAUUGGCACGUUUAUGCAGCAUAACUUUAUGAACAAAGGAACCCAGGUUUGCAAUUUGGCUGGCAUUUAGGGAGUUUACAGACAAGGUUAAAGUGGAACCUGUCAUCAGCAAGGGAAAGAAACAACCAUUUGAAUGGAAAAAUAUGUUUGUAAGCAACGCCUCCGAUAAGGGCCUUACGUCCAAAACAUACAAAGAACUCAUACAACUCAAUAACAAUAAAAAAGCAAAUGUUCCAAUCAAAAAAUGUGCAGAA
Long non-coding RNA from Pteropus alecto (black flying fox), 1458 nucleotides. RefSeq lists it as uncharacterized. NCBI's taxonomy places the organism in Eukaryota, Metazoa, Chordata, Mammalia, Chiroptera, Pteropodidae. The record is from RefSeq and is a predicted model, not a curated record. The transcript is spliced from 4 exons.